RNAcentral lists this ribosomal RNA (253 nucleotides) under uncultured bacterium. RNAcentral's name for it is "partial 16S ribosomal RNA". It matches the Rfam family "Bacterial small subunit ribosomal RNA", at positions 524 to 776 of the family's 1533-position model. The record is from RNAcentral.
UACGAAGGGGGCGAGCGUUGUUCGGAAUUACUGGGCGUAAAGGGCGCGUAGGCGGUGUGUCAAGUCAGGCGUGAAAGCCCCGGGCUCAACCUGGGAACGGCGCUUGAGACUGGCACGCUCGAGUUCGGGAGAGGAUGGUGGAAUUCCCAGUGUAGAGGUGAAAUGCGUAGAUAUCGAGAGGAACAUCAGUGGCGAAGGCGGCUGCCUGGCCCAAUACUGACACUCAGGUGCGACAGCGUGGGGAGCAAACAGG